Molecule: small RNA, 1391 nt
Filed under: Pan troglodytes (chimpanzee)
Lineage: Eukaryota; Metazoa; Chordata; Mammalia; Primates; Hominidae
Description: processed transcript
Source: RNAcentral
AUGUGGCUGUGCUAGCAUCUAUUUCUGCAGCCCCGGGUUGGGGCAGGGAUGAGUGGGCGGCCUCCUACCUGCUGCUGUCUUCCAGGGCCUCUGCUGAUGUUUUCUCCACAGUCCUCCUUAGGGCUCAUGCAUUUAUCUCCAGAAGUCCAGUUACCUCCUUGCCAUCCCAAGCUGCCUGCCUCCUGGAUCAGGGCCCACGCCUCAGCAGUGGUCUGCUUCUCCCUCGUCCUGAUCAACACGAGGCUAGCCUGUCAUCCGUAGGCUGCACCUGCCUGUUAAUAUUCCCCCUCAUGGCUGCUCCUUCUCUCUUGCCCAUGUCCCUAUCAUCUUCCCUUUGCCAGGCACUGUGGCCUCCCAUGCAUUAUCGUUUUUAUCCUCUCAGCAGCCUUGUAGGGCAGGAAUGUGAAACUGAGGCUCAGGGAGAUUUGCCAACUCCAGGGGCCCAAAGGUGGCCAACCUCUUGCGGCUAUUUCAGAUCCCACAGAUUAGCUACGCCUCUACCAGUGCCAAGCUGAGUGACAAGUCCCGCUAUGACUACUUUGCCCGCACAGUGCCUCCUGACUUCUUCCAAGCCAAGGCCAUGGCUGAGAUUCUCCGCUUCUUCAACUGGACCUAUGUGUCCACUGUGGCGUCUGAGGGCGACUAUGGCGAGACAGGCAUUGAGGCCUUUGAGCUAGAGGCUCGUGCCCGCAACAUCUGUGUGGCCACCUCGGAGAAAGUGGGCCGUGCCAUGAGCCGCGUGGCCUUUGAGGGUGUGGUGCGAGCCCUGCUGCAGAAGCCCAGUGCCCGCGUGGCUGUCCUGUUCACCCGUUCUGAGGAUGCCCGGGAGCUGCUUGCUGCCAGCCAGCGCCUCAAUGCCAGCUUCACCUGGGUGGCCAGUGAUGGCUGGGGGGCCCUGGAGAGUGUGGUGGCAGGCAGUGAGGGGGCUGCUGAGGGUGCUAUCACCAUCGAGCUGGCCUCCUAUCCCAUCAGUGACUUUGCCUCCUACUUCCAGAGCCUGGACCCUUGGAACAACAGCCGGAACCCCUGGUUCCGUGAAUUCUGGGAGCAGAGGUUCCGCUGCAGCUUCCGGCAGCGAGACUGCGCAGCCCACUCUCUCCGGGCCGUGCCCUUUGAGCAGGAGUCCAAGAUCAUGUUUGUGGUCAAUGCAGUGUACGCCAUGGCCCAUGCGCUCCACAACAUGCACCGUGCCCUCUGCCCCAACACCACCCGGCUCUGUGACGCGAUGCGGCCAGUUAACGGGCGCCGCCUCUACAAGGACUUUGUGCUCAACGUCAAGUUUGAUGGUGACCUGAAAGUCUCCUGAAAUCAAAAGUUAUUUUAAUAAGAGUGCCAGCUUUAAGAGAAAUGACUGCUGCAGAUCAUCACUAUGCUUCAGGAAGAAUCACCGU